Molecule: non-coding RNA, 6272 nt
Organism: Oryctolagus cuniculus (rabbit)
Lineage: Eukaryota; Metazoa; Chordata; Mammalia; Lagomorpha; Leporidae
Source: RefSeq, a predicted model, not a curated record
AGCAGUUUUAUUGAGGCUCGGACGGCGCCGAUCGCGCGCGGCCCCCGGGGACGCGCCCCGCUCAGGGACGCAGCCACUCGGACAGAUUGGAGACCUCCCGCAGCCACAGCGCCUCCUGCGGGAGCAGAGGGGCCCGGGUGUACAUCACUCCUACUUUACUGAUACAGAGGAGGCCACAGUACGGUGCAGCAGGCUAAGCCCCCACCCGCAGUGUCUGCGUCCCACACUGGAGUGCCAGUUUGAGCUGCUCCACCUCCACUCCAGAUCUCUGCGAAUGCUCCUGGGAAAGCAGUGGAAGAUGGCCAAGUGCUCUGGGCCCUGCCGCUCACGGAGACUGGAUCUAAUUCCUGGCUUCUAGCUUUAGCCUGACCCAGCCCCAACCCCAGCUAUUGCAGCCAUUUCGUGAGUGAACCAGAGAUCUGUCUCUCCCCACUGCCCCCCACUACGCCCCAUCACUCUGCCUUUCAAAUAGAUAAAUAACAGUUAAAAAAAAAAAAGAAACUGAGGCUUUAAAAUGUUAAAUAACGUCCACAUGAAUGCCAACAACUAGUUAGUGGCAGAAGCAGAAUUCAAGCCAUGCCUAACUGGGCUCCUAGCCUCUGUAUGACACUAUGUCUGAGCUCCUAGCCUCUGUAUAACACUAUGUCUGGGCUCCUAGCCUCUGUAUAACACUAUGUCUGGGCUCCUAGCCUCUGUAUAACACUAUGUCGGCCCCUAGCCUCUGUAUAACACUAUGUCUGAGCUCCUAGCCUCUGUAUAACACUAUAUCUGGGCUCCUAGCCUCUGUAUAACACUAUGUCGGCUCCUAGCCUCUGUAUGACACUAUAUCUGGGCUCCUAGCCUCUGUAUAACACUAUGUCUGGGCUCCUAGCCUCUGUAUAACACUAUGUCUGGGCUCCUAGCCUCUGUAUGACACUAUAUCUGGGCUCCUAGCCUCUGUAUAACACUAUGUCGGCUCCUAGCCUCUGUAUAACACUAUGUCGGCUCCUAGCCUCUGUAUAACACUAUGUCUCACACAGUUUUUCUGAAUCACAGACUUCCUGCUGAAAGACUAGCCUCCGACUGUGGGGUCUGAAGCACCGUAUCUCCGCUGAUUCAGAACUCUCGCAGAGCAACAUGGAAGGCUUCUCCCGGAGUGCUGAUUCUUACUUCACAUUUACCUGCUUCCUGUCACAUGGGCCCUGGUGAAGAAAUCGGUGCUGCGUGAUCUCAUGGAAUACUUUGUGCAGUUUGGUCCCAAACUCCUGUGUGUCAGCCGCCUAGAAUGAGACAGAGAGAACACACUGAGGCCCAGUCCUGGACACCAAGAGGGACUAUUCACAGGAAGUUUAUACGGCGGAAGCAUAAGGCAGGUAGGGAGGUAGAACACUAACAUCCCUCUCAGUGUUGGAAGUUUCCUUAGUCUCCCUAGAGGCAGGAGAGACGAGACAGAAAGAAGGCCUGGGACACUUGCCACGAGACAGGGAGUGUGGAUCGUGUAUGCCUUCCCAUUUCUGUCACCCAAGCAAGAACCUUCAAACCAGGGCCUUUUCCCCUAACUCUGCAGGAGGAGAUAAGUGUCCCAGAGAGCUGUCUGUUCCUGAGGGGUUAUAUAAAUGGUUCUGUAAAAUAAACUCCCAGAUUCUACUGGACAGCAGAGGCUGACUGAAGAGCUUUUCCUCAACUAAGACCUUUACAGAUGACAGGAACAAAAGAAUACCGUUUCACCCACAGUGAAUGGGUAAGCGCAUUCUAUUUUUUAAUACACAGUGUUAGAGUUAAGGGGGACCAGAGUAAUCACCUAUGCAAUACACUAAUGUUAUAGAUCAGAGAUUAAAACACAUGAAGGAGAAGUGACCCAGUCAAGAUCUCACGGCUAAUUAGUACGAAAGUUAGGGCCUUAAUGCAUAUCUUGGAAUUCCUAAUCAGGUAUUCUCCUCAUACUCUGAGUUACCCACAUAACCCAGAAAGUUGAAGCAAUGAUAAAAUACACUAACUUAUAAAGGUAUUUUACUCCUUAAAAAAUUUAAAGAUUUAUUUCUUUAUUUGAAAGGAAGGUAGAGUUACACAGAGAGACAGAGAGAUCUUCCAUCUGCUGGUUCACUCCCCCAAAUGGCCACAACAGUCGGGGCUUGGCCAGGCUGAAGCCAGGAGCUUCAUCUAGGUCUCCCAUUGACCCAAGCACUUGGGCCAUCUUCUGUUGUUUUCCCAGGCAUAUUAGUAGAGGGAACUGGAUUGGAAGUGGAGCAGCCAGGACUUGAACCAGUGCUGAAAUGGGAUGCUGGCGACACAGGUGGUGGCUUAACUCAUUAUGCCGCAAUACUGGCCCUGGUAUUUAACUCUUUGAUCCAGUUAAUUCCAUUUAUAGAAACUUAUUCUGAGAAAUAAUUCAAGAGACAACAUCAUACAAGGGUAUCAACUGAAGCAUUAUAUCAGGAGGAAUGUAACCAACUUAAAUGUCUAACAUUAGAUGAAUGGUUUAGAUUAAAAUGACACAGUAGAAUACUGAUUAACCAAAACAAAAUCCUAAGACUGUUGAAAUGGAAAAUGUCAACUUAUAUAUUAAAAUGGAAUGUUCUCAUGGCAACUGUAUAACAUGAGAUAAUAUGAAAAAUUAUAAAUUAUAGUGACAAAAUUAGUUAUUAUUUAAAAUUUUGUGUUAUGUUAUCUUUUUAAGGAAAGACAUGCAUAAAAAUGAAGCACCGGGGCCAGUGUUGUGGCACAUUUGGUUAAGCUGCCGGCAUCCCAUGUGAGUGCAGGUUGGAGUCCUGGCUGCUCUACUUCCAGUCCUGGCUUUGGUGUGGCCAUUUGGGGAGUGAGCCAGUGGAUGGAGGCUGUUCUGUGUAAAUAUACAGCACACACUUAGCCCUCACCUUCAUAAUAACCCUGUGAAGAAGCAUUUUUUUUUUUUUUACAACUUGUAGAUGAGCUCAGAGAAGUUAAAUACAGGCUAAAUCUACAUAGCUAGUAAAUAAAUGAGUCAUGAUUUGAACCCAAGCCUCUGAUUCCCAAAAUCUCUGCCCCAUGCAUCCUGUCACAUACAUGUAAUACUUAUAGUUGCUCAGUUAUUCCCAACGUGCCGUCACAUGAAACAGCAGAGCACUCCUAAACAAGGCACGGGGACUCGCUGAUCUCAUCCCAGCUUGGCUCUUAGCUAGCUGUGUGGCCUAAAGGAGUCAGACAUCUUAAAGAACUUGUAUUCUCAUUGAUAAAAGAGUAUACACACUACUAUACAAUCAACAAAUAUUUCUGAUAACACUUAGGCCUGAUAACAAGAUAGGUAACUGGGGGCCAGUGCUGUGGCAUAGAGGGUAAAGCCACUGCCUUCAGUGCUGGCAUCUCAUAUGGGCGCCAGUUCAAGUCCCGGCUGCUCCACCUCUGAUCCAGCUCUAUGCUAUGGCCUGGGAAAGCAGUGGAGGAUGGCUCAAGUGCUUGGGCCCCUGCGCCUGCGUGGGAGACCUGAGGGAAGCUCCUGGCUCCUGAUCAGUGCAUCUCCAGCUGUUUCGGCCAUCUGGGGAGUGAACCAGCAGAUUAAAGACCUCUCUCUCUUUCUCUGCCUCUCUGUAACUCUCCCUUUCAAAUAAAUAAAUACAUCUUUUUUUCUUUUCUUUUUUUUUUUUUUUUUUUUUUUAAGACAGGUAACUGAAUGCCAUUAAAGCCCUGGUACCUUUAAGCCGCCCCAGUCCCCUGCUAACCUGAAGGGCCUGGAGACAGGUCUUUCGGAAGCUGCCAUCGGUACUCCCAGUCACAAUGGAGAAAGGAGCCUGUGGAUUUCUCAUUACCUUGACGGCCUGAUGAUGCUGCCCCAGGACUUGGUCCACGGUGAACUGGAUGGAAUCUCGCACCGCACUGUGGCUCUCCCUGAGGACGGUACUGAGGAAGGAAUUUAAUGAACUGAACACUAUUAUUUUUCAAUGUCAAAAACCGGUGAAGUAUAUAUGAAAUUAUCACUUCGUGUCAAGAGAACCUUCCUGUUGAAGUUGUUGGCAACAACAUACAUCCUGCCCACUUCCAAGUGACUGACACACUACAUGCGCCCCAGGAUGGGCCAAGGGGACUGGCAAAUCCUCCUCGUGUCUCAGUAUAAAGUCUUUUCUCCCUCAGAAGUUUAUAGGAGAGAUGAAGACGGCAUAUCCCAACGUGCGGCUGUAAGGCUGGGGACCUUGUUUGGAAAGCAUUCCCAGAGGACCCUGCGCCCCCAGCUCAGCACUUGAGGAAAGAGGGUACAGUACUUGAGCUGCUCUCCUUCACAGUGCUCGUCCAAGCUCAGCUGCACUGUCGCCUCCAUGGCCUGCACCUUAGCGUUGCUGUCCUGUGUAAGCCCUUGAUCUUGGCCUGGUGCUGCUCACAGGGCCUCCUGGUGGGUGUGGGUGCUGUAGUCCAGGUUAUGGUGCCCAUUCACAUGAGCGUCCAGGAGCUUCACGUCCAGUACUGCUGCCUCCAUUGCUCUUCUCUCUGCAAAACACUGGCAGAACUCCUCAGCGACUGCCACAUCACUCAGGUCCCACUUUACCUCCCCUCUGACUUGUUCUCAAACUCCUCCUCAGACAAGGCUUGUUCUUCUCCCUGGAUGCCUGGCUCCUGCUGCUCUCAGAAGGCCCAGAGCUUCUGAAAUGUGAAUAACUUCAGUGGGAGUCCUUUGAGGCUCUGGAUGAGGGAAUGUCCAACCUCAUUAUCCCCAGAGCGACAGGAAGACCUGCAGGAGGGGAGUACCACUGAAACUGAAAUAGGACGUCACAGCCUCCCUGUAGGCGUCUGGUGGCUUCACACACAAGCCAGCCAUUGCUUGAUGAUAAUGUUGCCAGUAUCUUGCAUAUCAGAUGAGGAGACCAAGACUUGGCAGUUUUUCAUGUUGACACCUUCACUGCCAUCUCCCACUGUGAAAGUCCAAAUGGGCACCAAAUCUCGCGGAUGCAUACUUUACAAAUCCCAGGCGGUGGGAAAGUGGAGUCCUUGUUUUCAGUGGUAUGAAUUUCUUUUUAAUCCAAUACUGAGGACAACUACUAAGAUACCUAAUGGAAGCUUUCAGAAUCAAGCUAAGCAGAAGUAUAUAAGGGGCUGGCACUGUGGCAUAGCAGGUAAAGCCACUGCCCGCAGUGCCUGCAUCCCACAUGAGUGCUGGUUCCAAUCCCGGCUGCUCCACUUCUGAUCCCGCUCUCUGCUAUGGCCUGGGAAAGCAGUGGAAGAUGGCCCAAGUGCCUGGGCCUCUGCACCCAUGUAGGAGACCCGGAAGAAGCUCCUGGCUCCGGAUCAGUGCAGCUCUGGCCGUUGCAGCCAUCUGAGGAGUGAACCAGCAGAUGGAUGAUCGAUCUCUCUCUCUCUCUGCCUCUCCUUCUCUCUCUGUGUAACUCUGAUUUUCAAAUAAAUAAAUAAACCGUUUUUAAAGAAAGUAUAUAAAUUAUCAGAGUCCUAUAAGAAUAAUAGGCAACACUGGUUUCUGAGGAAUCUGAGUCUGUAAGAUACAUUCAAUAGGACUGAGAACAUGGUAUCAAGCUUACGGUAUCCAGGAUCAGCCUCUGGCAAACUUAAAAAACAAACUAUAGGAGGUGGCAGAGCUUGUUAAGGAGGUCUUCAGAUCGGAAGGGCCUCUGACAUCAUCAAGUCUAACAAUCCCUUGUUAAAGAUGCAAAGCAAGACUAAGUUGAUUUAUGUGAUCUGCUUCGAAGCACCAUUGAGGAAGCUGAUGUUUGAGCUAAAAUUAAACACAGAUGUCUUUCUCUCUUUUUAAAAUGAUAUAACACAUGCCUGGAAAAAAAGUUCUGCUUUUUUUUUUUUUAAGAUUAUUUGUUUGAAAGGCAGAGUGACAGGGAGAGACAGAGAGACACACAGCAAGAAAGAGAUCUCCCUCCGGCUUGUUCACUCCCUAAAUGGCUUCAAUAGGCAGGUAUGGGCCAGGCCAAAGCCAGGAGUCUGGAAUCCAUCCUGUUCUAGCACAUGGGUGGCAGGGGCCCAAGUACUUGAGCCACACUUUGCUGGCUUCUCAGAUACACCAGUAGGAAUCUGGAUUGGAAGCAGAGCAGUCAAGACUCAACUGGACAUUCAAUGCAGGAUGCUGGUACUGCAAGAGGCAACUUAACCCACCGCACCACAACACCAGCCUCAAACCCGGUCACUGGUUCCUAUCCUGUAGUCCCUUCCACACAUUAAGCUGCUCUUCUUAUCAACCUCUGUCCUUGUGAACACAGGCCAGGUAACAGCCCUGGUUGUCCUCACCUGAGACCUCCUUGCUGAAGCGUUAUUAGUUUGGGUCUCAUAGUUCCCAUUUUUCUGGUCAUAAUCAAUGGAACAGCCGG